CUGGGAUGCACGGAGGCAGGUGCGGGAGUAGUGGGUCCGCUUCCUGAACCAGUCUCCAGGAAUCACUGACAUUCAAGGAUAUGGCUGUGGACUUCACCCAGGAGGAAUGGGGGCAGCUGGAUCUUGCACAGAGGGGCCUGUACAGGGAUGUGAUGCUAGAGAAUUAUGGAAACCUGGCUGCACGGGACUUGAAGAAAGACUUGA
Molecule: long non-coding RNA, 204 nt
Organism: Dromiciops gliroides (monito del monte)
Lineage: Eukaryota; Metazoa; Chordata; Mammalia; Microbiotheria; Microbiotheriidae
Exons: 3
Source: RefSeq, a predicted model, not a curated record